RNAcentral lists this ribosomal RNA (446 nucleotides) under uncultured bacterium. RNAcentral's name for it is "partial 16S ribosomal RNA". It matches the Rfam family "Bacterial small subunit ribosomal RNA", at positions 338 to 795 of the family's 1533-position model. The record is from RNAcentral.
CCUACGGGGGGCAGCAGUCGAGAAUCUUUCACAAUGGGCGAAACCCUGAUGGUGCGACGCCGCGUGGGGGAAUGAAGGUCUUCGGAUUGUAAACCCCUGUUAUGUGGGAGCAAAUUAAAAAGAUAGUACCACAAGAGGAAGAGCCGGCUAACUCUGUGCCAGCAGCCGCGGUAAUACAGAGGUCUCAAGGGUUGUUCGGAAUCACUGGGCGUAAAGCGUGCGUAGGCUGUUUCGUAAGUCGUGUGUGAAAGGCGCGGGCUCAACCCGCGGACGGCCCAUGAUACUGCGAGACUAGAGUGAUGGAGGGGGAACCGGAAUUCUCGGUGUAGCAGUGAAAUGCGUAGAUAUCGAGAAGAACACUCGUGGCGAAGGCGGGUUCCUGGACAUUAACUGACGCUGAGGCACGAAGGCCAGGGGAGCGAAAGGGAUUAGAUACCCCAGUAGUC